GAGGAAAGACCGUGGCUCAACAGAAGAGCAUCUGCUUAGCAUGCAGAAGAUCCCAGGUUCAAUCCCCAGUAUCUUCA
This 77-nucleotide transfer RNA is filed under the name Sphaerodactylus townsendi. Its description in RNAcentral is "tRNA-Ala". The record is from RNAcentral. Lineage: Eukaryota; Metazoa; Chordata; Lepidosauria; Squamata; Sphaerodactylidae.